UAAUUCUCUAUCUUCCGAUAGCUUUUCCAAGAUUUCUAAUUCAUCCUUAAUAAUAGACUUUGAUUCCCCUUCCUUGGCUAAAACCUCUCUUUUCCACGUUUUUAUACCCUCCCUAAUCACCUUCGAUUUGUGCAUAAUCGCCUUGUCAGGCUCUUCAGCCCCGAUAAAAUUAGCAAUCGCUUUAAGAACUACCUCAUCGAAAUCCUUUCUCUCAAACCACGAAUUGAAAAAUCUAAACGGCUUGGGUCCCCGUAGUUUUUAUCCGAGCAAGUCAAAACUAAAGGGCAGUGGUCCAAUAGAAAUCUCGGUAACGCCCGAAGGCAUGCCACCGGCCACUCAGAAAAGAACUCUUGACAGACCAAAACUCUAUCAAUCUUGCUAAGUUUAUUACCGUAAUCUAAAUGAAUAGUGUUUGACCUGGUGUUGUGUUUUGAUUGGAUUAUCUUGCCAUCGUGUCCUCAUCACCGCAAAACUAGCCACACGUUACAUUUGUGCCCACCAUAUAAAACCCUCAACCCUGCCCCACACCCACCAUCGGAAGGGAGAAUCCAUGAGGUGGUUACCGGCGGCCACACCUCCAGAUGAACAUCAAAAUUUAAGCAGACUUCAUCUUCAUCAUCUAAUUCAACACAUAUCGCCGCCCUAGGUAUAGAAAGAGGGAGCCGACCAUAGAAAAGGGAACUUCGGGGAAGUUUUUCCGAUUGUGUUGGCGCAUCAAUUGAGACCUCAGACAGUCGGCGGCUAGGGUUCAUGACUCGAAGGUGAUGACGGAGACGAUGUGGGUUAAGUUUCAGGCGAUCAAUGGUGUCAAACGAUGGUCGUUCAAAACAACUAGGCGAUCGGAGACAGUCAAAACAAGGGAACGCAUUCUGGUCACCUAUGGUUUAGGGUUUUGAACAUACCGACGAUUAGGAAGGCGAUAUGUUUGUUGAGUCCUGAGUUUUUCUGUUUGGGAUGAUGUUUUAUGUCGAGAUUAAAGGAUAUGGGAAUGAAUGCUCUUAGUACGUUGGGUUUCACUGUUAUCUUUUUUUCUGCCAAGUAAUGCAGAACAAUAUCAGAUCAAGUGAUCAGGUGGUGGUUUAUUUUUCAAGCAAGAUGGGUUCCAUGGUGAGGAUGGUUGAGAACGGGGUGGAGGUGGUGAGCAAACGACGGAGAAAGAAUAGGGGCCCGUGAUAGUGAUGGAAUCAUGGGUUGGAAUUGUAUAGGUACACAUAGAAAUAGCAAGGGAGCCAAUGAGGACAUCAUUAGUGGUGCUGAAAAAGGAGAAAACAACUGAUGGCGCAAUCGAACACCGUUUCUCCUUUGCUUAGUCUCCCUUCUUCACCUUUCCUUGCCGCGAGAUACCUAGAGCAUGCCUGAUUUUUGUUCACGGAUGCUUUAGAUGGUGGUUUAGGUGAGCUUCGGCGGCUACUAUGACCUGACUGUAAGAAUUCAUGCCUCCUUUGUUUCAAUAGGUAAAAGUGUUAUCAGUCUCAAUUCUCAACGAUUCGUUGCACGUAAUUAGGUUUCUAAUUUGAUAAAUUUAUGUGGGUUUCAGUCAAUUCAAAUUGUGUAAAGGAUGAGGUAUAGUUGUUAUGUAUUUCUUAUCUAUUACUUUUUAAUUAAACCCUACCUGUUUGUUGUAACAGGAGAGCAAACUGAAAUAACACCAGGAAAAUCUUUUGAAGGCAGAAUAUAAUGGUGACACCCCUCUUAUUCAUGCUGCAAGGCUAUUGCUAAAUACCUCAUUGAAAUGGGGUUGAUACUUCACUAUCGAGUGAGUUAGGGGCUAUGGCUUUGCAUCAUGUUGCCUGGAAUAGGGGAGUCUGGCACACUGCUGAUUUGGGCUGCUGGUCAUGGACAAGUAGAUGCUUUAAAACUUUUACUAAAAUACAAGGCUGAUCUAAGGCUUCAGUGAUGGUUUAGAGAAGAAAGCAACCAAUAAAAGGGAAGGAGAUGACCAUCCGUCGGUGGUUGUGUGAGUCGGAAUGUGCGUGUCAGCGUGUACAUGUUCUCUAGAGGGUGGUUUUGCACCCCCAAUUUCUCAAAUGUCUGUUCUUACAUUCCAAAUCGAUGAAAUUAAAGUUGGACUUUGAAAUCCGCUUCAACAUAUGCUUUUUGGCUAUGGAGAUUAACUUUUCUGGUGCAAAUUCAUGCUGAAUUUGAGGCUCUUUUACAUGGCAUGAUUUCGCUAUUUAUGUUUGUCUCUAAGGUUGCAUGCUAAAUGUUCAUAAUAACUGACAAGUACUCUGUAGAAUUGUUUUUAUUAAGGCUCUGUUGAUAAUAUUUGUUGUUGUAAGUUUUAUUGAAUACACAGUUAGUUAAAUUUAA
Helianthus annuus (common sunflower) is the source of this 2310-nucleotide long non-coding RNA. RefSeq lists it as uncharacterized. The record is from RefSeq and is a predicted model, not a curated record. Lineage: Eukaryota; Viridiplantae; Streptophyta; Magnoliopsida; Asterales; Asteraceae. The transcript is spliced from 7 exons.